Molecule: long non-coding RNA, 1536 nt
Filed under: Ananas comosus (pineapple)
Lineage: Eukaryota; Viridiplantae; Streptophyta; Magnoliopsida; Poales; Bromeliaceae
Description: long non-coding RNA (ACOM_LNC016200)
Source: RNAcentral
AAAAAAUUUUCGUAUAAAAAUUUUACGUGAUUUGGAUAUUUCUACACCGUUAAACUUGCAAACGGCUCACUACGGCCAUUGAAAUUUGUUGAUUUUGAGCCCAUUCGAUCACUAGGCAAAUGAUAUCGAAAAAUAAUAAAAUUUAUUUUCUAGGUACUCCAAAUACUCUAGAUCAAGUUUAACGGAGCCGAUCGACGAUUCAAAAGUCGCAACAUCGAAAACGAGCUGGAAGCACGGAAGGCUCCGGUGCUUCCGAUAGCAUAGUAGCCUCACUCUAUACAUAUAUGUACAUAUAUGUAUAUAUAUGUAUAUAUAUGUACAUAUAUGUAGAUACAUAUAUGUAUAUAUAUGUAUAUAUAUGUAUAUACAUAUAUGUAUGUAUAUAUAUCUAUAUAUAUAUAUAUAUAUAUAACAGAGUAUAAAGUAGGACUACUAUACUCUUAUGAGUAUAGAGCCCUUCAUACUCAUAAGUUGUUUUCGAUGAUGGAGCUUCUGAAUCGAUGAUCCACUCCGUUAAAUAUGAUCUAGAGUAUUUGAAACGUCUAAAAAAUAAAUUUCGUAAUUUUUUGAAAUCAUAAUAAAACCCAUCAAACGGGCAAAAUAUGAAUGGUCAAAAUCGAACGACGUCCUAAAAAUAGAUGAUCAGAUUCUUUAAUUUAGGAUAGAAGUUAUCAAUCUUUAUCUAUAUAGUAAAUUGAAUUUUCUAUCAAAAAUUCAACCGAUUCCGAUUCUUUCAAACCAUUAAUAAACUAGCAAAUAUUCCAUACCGGCCCUUAAAAAUUAUCAAUUUUGAGAUCUUUUGAUCGUAAGGUAAAUAAUGUCAAAAAAUUAUAAAAUUUGAUUUAUAAAAAUUUUAAAUGCUCUAGAAAAUAUUUAAUGGUAUGGAUCGUCGAUUCAGAAGUUCUAUCUUCGAAAACGACUUAUGAGUAUGAAGGCGAUCCUACUCAUAAGAGUAUAGUAGCCGAACUAUAUAUACUGCAACACAAUUAGGUUAUAGCGACAUAUUUUUGGGACACUUUUAUGUAAGUGUUCUAUUUAUGCCAAAAAAUUUUUAAAAAAAUUACUAAUGCCUAAAUAUAAAAAAGCACAAUCCAAUCAAAAAAAAAAAAUUUGCUUUACUCAACCAACCACACCCAGCCCAAUCUUCUCGAAUACAAAUAGAAAAGGAAAAAAAAAAUUAAUCACCAUCUCCCCUUCUCCUUCUCCGCCGCCGCCAGUCCAACUCUAUAUAUAUAUAUAUAUAUAGAGAGAGAGAGAGAGAGAGAGAGAGAGUUGGACUGGGCUACUAUUAGUAGCAAAAUUCCUUUGUUGCUACUAGUUUUUUAGCCUUUGGAUCAACUCUUUUCGUUAUUUCUAACCAUUGGAUUAAAUACUAUAACCCAGUGGGGACCACUCAACCUUAGGGGGACCACUCAACUCUAACCGACUAAUAUCAUCCUGACCCUACAAUUUUUCAUCCAAGGGUUAAAAACUUGAUAGCAAAAAGAGCGUUUUACUAUUAAUAGUAUUUCAGCCUAAUUCUCUCUCUCUCUCUCU